AGUGAACGCUGGCGGUAGGCCUAACACAUGCAAGUCGAACGGCAGCACAGUAAGAGCUUGCUCUUACGGGUGGCGAGUGGCGGACGGGUGAGGAAUACAUCGGAAUCUACUUUUUCGUGGGGGAUAACGUAGGGAAACUUACGCUAAUACCGCAUACGACCUACGGGUGAAAGCAGGGGAUCUUCGGACCUUGCGCGAUUGAAUGAGCCGAUGUCGGAUUUGCUAGUUGGCGGGGUAAAGGCCCACCAAGGCGACGAUCCGUAGCUGGUCUGCGAGGAUGAUCAGCCACACUGGAAUUGAGACACGGUCCAGACUCCUACGUGAGGCAGCAGUGGGGAAUAUUGGACAAUGGGCGCAAGCCUGAUCCAGCCAUACCGCGUGGGUGAAGAAGGCCUUCGGGUUGUAAAGCCCUUUUGUUGGGAAAGAAAAGCAGCAGGUUAAUACCCCGCUGUUCUGACGGUACCCAAAGAAUAAGCACCGGCUAACUUCGU
Molecule: ribosomal RNA, 491 nt
Filed under: uncultured bacterium
Lineage: Bacteria
Description: partial 16S ribosomal RNA
Rfam family: Bacterial small subunit ribosomal RNA
Source: RNAcentral